AUAUUGGUCAAUGGAUGCAAGUCUGAACCAGCCAUGCCGCGUGCAGGAAGAAGGCCUUCUGGGUUGUAAAGCUCUUUUACCCGGGAUGAUAAUGACGGUACCUGGAGAAUAAGCCCCGGCUAACUUCGUGCCAGCAGCCGCGGUAAUACGAAGGGGGCUAGCGUUGCUCGGAAUCACUGGGCGUAAAGCGCACGUAGGUGGAUCUUUAAGUCAGGGGUGAAAUCCUGGAGCUCAACUCCAGAACUGCCUUUGAUACUGGAGAUCUUCGAGUCCGGGAGAGGUGGGUGGAACUGCGAGUGUAGAGGUGAAAUUCGUAGAUAUUCGCAAGAACACCAGUGGCGAAGGCGGCUCACUGGCCCGGUACUGACACUGAGGUGCGAAAGCGUGGGGAGCAA
RNAcentral lists this ribosomal RNA (395 nucleotides) under uncultured bacterium. RNAcentral's name for it is "bacterial SSU rRNA". It matches the Rfam family "Bacterial small subunit ribosomal RNA", at positions 361 to 771 of the family's 1533-position model. The record is from RNAcentral.